This 682-nucleotide long non-coding RNA is filed under the name Sorghum bicolor (sorghum). RNAcentral describes it as "long non-coding RNA (SBIC_LNC016633)". The record is from RNAcentral. Lineage: Eukaryota; Viridiplantae; Streptophyta; Magnoliopsida; Poales; Poaceae.
AUAUAUACAUAAAGUAUUAAAUAUAAAUAAAAAUAAAAAUUAAUUGUAUAAUUUGGUCGGAAUUGACGAGACGAAUCUUUUGAGCCUAGUUAGACCAUAAUUGGAUAAUAUUUGUCAAAUAUAAAUGAAAAUGCUGUUAUUCCUAUUUUGCAAAAAAAAAUUAAAGUAAACCAGACCUAGAUAUGAAAACGGAUGAGAUAUCACUGACGCCUUGUUUAGUUCUAACAAAUUUUUAAAAAAAUUUUAAAUUCUUCGUCACAUCAAAUCUUGUGAUAGAAUAUUAAAUAUAGAUAAAAAUAAUAAUUAAUUGUACAGUUUAUCUGUAAUUUACGGGACAAAUCUUUUGAGCCUAGUUAAUUCAUGAUUGGACAAUAUUUAUCAAUGCAAACGAAAGUUCUACGUGUCCAUUUUGUAAAAAAUUUUGGAACUAAAUUUUAAGAUUUUUCAUCACAUCGAAUCUUUAGAUGGAUGCAUGAAACAUUAAAUAUAGAUAAAAAAUAACUAAUUACAUAGUUUGUCUGUAAUUUACAAGCCAAAUAUUUUGAGUCUAAUUAAUCCAUGAUUGGACAAUAAUUUUCAAAUAUAAAUGAAAGUCCUACAGUAGCCAAAAACAAAAAAAAAUCCCCAACUAAACAAGCCAAAACAGUUUCCUCAGUGAAGCUCAAAAUGGUCGUCUCCGCAG